This 538-nucleotide ribosomal RNA is filed under the name Macrophomina phaseolina. RNAcentral's name for it is "eukaryotic LSU rRNA". The stretch from base 173 to 326 matches the Rfam family "5.8S ribosomal RNA". Lineage: Eukaryota; Fungi; Ascomycota; Dothideomycetes; Botryosphaeriales; Botryosphaeriaceae. The record is from RNAcentral.
GAUUCGGGCUCGUCCGAUCCUCCCACCCUUUGUAUACCUACCUCUGUUGCUUUGGCGGGCCGCGGUCUUCCGCGGCCGCCCCCCGAUUUGGGGGGUGGCUAGUGCCCGCCAGAGGACUAUCAAACUCCAGUCAGURAACGUUGCAGUCUGAAAAAAAUAUUAAAUAAACUAAAACUUUCAACAACGGAUCUCUUGGUUCUGGCAUCGAUGAAGAACGCAGCGAAAUGCGAUAAGUAAUGUGAAUUGCAGAAUUCAGUGAAUCAUCGAAUCUUUGAACGCACAUUGCGCCCCUUGGUAUUCCGGGGGGCAUGCCUGUUCGAGCGUCAUUUCAACCCUCAAGCUCUGCUUGGUAUUGGGCACCGUCCUUUGCGGGCGCGCCUCAAAGACCUCGGCGGUGGCGUCUUGCCUCAAGCGUAGUAGAAUACACCUCGCUUCGGAGCGUAAGGCGUCGCCCGCCGGACGAACCUUCUGAACUUUUCUCAAGGUUGACCUCGGAUCAGGUAGGGAUACCCGCUGAACUUAAGCAUAUCAAACCGGG